RNAcentral lists this ribosomal RNA (253 nucleotides) under uncultured bacterium. RNAcentral describes it as "partial 16S ribosomal RNA". It matches the Rfam family "Bacterial small subunit ribosomal RNA", at positions 524 to 776 of the family's 1533-position model. The record is from RNAcentral.
UACGAAGGUGGCUAGCGUUGCUCGGAAUUACUGGGCGUAAAGGGCGCGUAGGCGGACAGUUUAGUCAGAGGUGAAAGCCCAGGGCUCAACCUUGGAAUUGCCUUUGAUACUGGCUGUCUUGAGUUCGGGAGAGGUGAGUGGAAUGCCGAGUGUAGAGGUGAAAUUCGUAGAUAUUCGGCGGAACACCAGUGGCGAAGGCGACUCACUGGCCCGAUACUGACGCUGAGGCGCGAAAGCGUGGGGAGCAAACAGG